AAGAUUUUAAGUUAAAAUAAACUAAUAGCCUUCAAAGCUUUAUAUAAAAAUAUAAUUUUAAAUCUUA
RNAcentral lists this transfer RNA (67 nucleotides) under Fenusa (Kaliofenusa) sp. 3 GYN-2022b. Its description in RNAcentral is "tRNA-Trp". The record is from RNAcentral. Lineage: Eukaryota; Metazoa; Arthropoda; Insecta; Hymenoptera; Tenthredinidae.